CAGCCGCCGCGGGAAUACGUAGGGUGCAAGCGUUAAUCGGAAUUACUGGGCGUAAAGCGUGCGCAGGCGGUUAUAUAAGACAGAUGUGAAAUCCCCGGGCUCAACCUGGGAACUGCAUUUGUGACUGUAUAGCUAAAGUACGGCAGAGGGGGAUGGAAUUCCGCGUGUAGCAGUGAAAUGCGUAGAUAUGCGGAGGAACACCGAUGGCGAAGGCAAUCCCCUGGGCCUGUACUGACGCUCAUGCACGAAAGCGUGGGGAGCAAACAGGAUUAGAUACCCGUGUAGUCCCUGUCUCUUAUAU
This 301-nucleotide ribosomal RNA is filed under the name uncultured bacterium. Its description in RNAcentral is "partial 16S ribosomal RNA". It matches the Rfam family "Bacterial small subunit ribosomal RNA", at positions 509 to 809 of the family's 1533-position model. The record is from RNAcentral.